GCUGGGUAUGGUGGCUCAUGCCUGUAAUCCCAGCACUUUGGGAAGUUGAGGCGGGUGGAUCACCUGAGGUCAGGAGUUCAAGACCAGCCUGACCAACAUGGUGAAACCCCGUCUCUA
Molecule: unclassified non-coding RNA, 117 nt
Organism: Papio anubis (olive baboon)
Lineage: Eukaryota; Metazoa; Chordata; Mammalia; Primates; Cercopithecidae
Rfam family: Metazoan signal recognition particle RNA
About the family: The signal recognition particle (SRP) is a universally conserved ribonucleoprotein.
Source: Ensembl